GACCAUGAGGGGCCUGUUUUGCAAAUAACCCUGCAUGUAAGUGUCCUGACAACAUCGGAGCCAACUCAGCAGCAUCAUAUGGUCUCCUGGUGACUCAGACUGGACCAAUGCCCUGACCUCUUAUCCCAGCUAUAGCAACUUAUGUAAAGCUUGGAAAACUUCUCUCUGUGGGAGCAGUCCGCAUGGGCUCCGAUCAAUAGCAGGACUUGCAGCAGAGCACGAGCAAGGAUAUCUACUGGAAAGGUGAGCUGUGGUCACAAAGCUACUGUAUGAAGAUUUCUCAGGAUUAAGACUCAGUUUUAAUUUAGAGUAAUUUUUAUUACCCCCCAGCU
RNAcentral lists this long non-coding RNA (332 nucleotides) under Calidris pugnax (ruff). RNAcentral's name for it is "lncRNA (ENSCPUG00000012075.1)". Lineage: Eukaryota; Metazoa; Chordata; Aves; Charadriiformes; Scolopacidae. The record is from RNAcentral.